CCUGAUUUACAACCCUCUUUCCUCUUCAUGUUGACAAAUACAAUACUGUGCUAUGUAUAUGUAUCCAACUUUUUACACACACUGCUAGAAACUGUAAGAUGAGCAGAGCCUCGGCGAGCAGAAGCUGCGGACGAGCUUGCUCCCAGUGAGGUAAGGCUGGGAUCUACUGGGAAAGUCUCAAAGAUUGACCGGUCGACUGGUUGGCGACCACAAUACUGGAGGAACUCAGCAGGUCAGGCAUCACAACGAAGAGGAGGACGAUCUUGCUCAACUGGAAGGAGGCCGCCCUGCCCACUCAUGUUCAAUGGCUAUCUGAUGUUAUGUUGUGCCUUGAUCAAGAGAAGAUUAGUUGUUCAAUUUCUGAUUCUAAACAUGAUCUUCUAAUGUUAUGGGGCCCCUUUCUGAGUUAUUUUCAUAAUCUUUGAACUGUUAUUAAAGUAUGGAUGAGCCAUUAUUAUUAUAUUAUAUGGCAAGGUAUUUUUUUUCUUUUUUUUUGCCAACCAGCUCAUUUUGGUAGUGGGGGUAGAUUCUUUUAUAAUAAAAUAUAAUUAUUUUAUUUUAUUUCAUUAUUCAAUCUUUUUUUUUCUACAUGAUUGAUUUGGAAUAUGGGAUACUGUGAUCAUAUCACUGUGAUUUAAACGUAAUGUAAUUCAUAUUACUUGUAUUCUUAUGAAUUUUGUAUUGGUAUUCAUGCAAUUUAUAUAAUAUAAAUAAAAAUAUUGAAAGAGAAAAACCAUUACCAAUGCUUCCACAAAUUCUUCAGCUACCUCUUUCAGAACCCUGGGGUGCAGUUUCUCUAGUCCAUGUGACUUAUCUAACUUCAGAUCUUUCAACUUCUCAAGAUCCAUCUUACUAAUAGCAACUACACCUCACUUCUGACCCCGACGUGCUCAAUGGUAAAGGCCAACACAAAAUAUUUAAA
Molecule: long non-coding RNA, 922 nt
Organism: Mobula hypostoma (lesser devil ray)
Lineage: Eukaryota; Metazoa; Chordata; Chondrichthyes; Myliobatiformes; Myliobatidae
Exons: 3
Source: RefSeq, a predicted model, not a curated record